Long non-coding RNA from Equus quagga, 1313 nucleotides. RefSeq lists it as uncharacterized. The transcript has 3 exons. The record is from RefSeq and is a predicted model, not a curated record. NCBI's taxonomy places the organism in Eukaryota, Metazoa, Chordata, Mammalia, Perissodactyla, Equidae.
GUUGCCGUAGGUGAACUUGUGUUGCUGCCUGUUGGACACGCAGGCACAACGUGGCAAAGCCUCCAUCAGUCCUGACGUGUCUUCCUCACAGCAAACAGCCGCCACCUUUAGUUACUCCUUGGGGACCACGAUUUUUCUCAGCCAGCCUCCUUCACGAUCUCCUCCAAAGUGUGCUUGGCUCUCCCGGGAGAAUCGCAGCUGAGAAUGACAGCUGGACGGUUGCACCUGGCUCACCAGCUUCGCACACAGCUUGCUUUCAAGGAAGUGGGGCAGCAAACUGGCAGACCCCCGGAAAGACUCAGUUUCCCCACCUUGGCUGCAUUUAGGUGUGGCUGUGCGACUGAGUUCUGGCCAAUGAAGUGUGAGUGGGAGAGGCCACUCACUAGUUAGAAACGAGUCAACAUCACUGGGUACAAGGGCACUUAACCUGAGUCUUACGUUCCUCACCUGGAAGUUGAGAGGGUUGCCCUGGCUAAUCCUCAAGGACCCAGCCAGCCAGAGGUCUGAAGCCAGGAGAAACGUGGUGCGGGUUAAGGUCGUGGCGCCAGCUUCCACACGGUUCGUGUGCACAGUGAAGCCCAUGAGAAGUGUUCUGUUUGGAGAAGCAGCUCCGACAACUGGGAGCAAUGCAGUCAUCUGCAAAGGAAGCAGCCUUCGAAAGUGCUCCCAGCCUGUUGUCCCAAGAGGAAGGACGGCGUGAGCUCGUUUCUGAGGGCAGAUCCGCCCUGAAGGAGCACUAACUAAUUUUCCCUUUGCCCCAGUUCCUUGAACUCGUUCUCUCUCUUUAUUGUGCAUAUUUUUCUAAACACCUCAAAUCCUUUUAUGGAAUAAAGUUAGGAUAUAAAUAUGUUCAUUUUUAAAAAAAUCCUGAAAAGUGAGUUGCUUCAAACUACCAUAGAACUACCAUAUGACCUAGCGAUGCCACUUCUGGGCAUAUACGCCAAAGAAUUGAAAGCAGAGACUCGAACAGACUUUGGUACACCCGUGUUCAAAGCAGCAUCAUUCACGAUGGCCAAAAUGUGGAAACAACCCAAGCGUCCAUCAACAGAUGAAUGAUAAAAUGUGAUACACACACAGUAGUAUAUUAUUCAGACGUAAAAAGGAAUGAAAUUUUGAAACAUGCUAAAACUUGGAAGGACCUUGAAAACAUUAUGCCAGCAAUAAGCCAGACACAGAAGGGGAAAUAUUGUAUGAUUCCAUUCAUAGGAGGUACCAAGAAUAGGCCAAUUCAUAGAGACAGAAAGUGGAAUAGAGGUUACCAGGGGCUGGGGGAUGGGAGAAGAGGGAGUCAUUUAACAGACAGAGAGUUUUUG